GACGAACCGUGCGAACGUUAUUCGGAAUCACUGGGCUUAAAGCGCGUGUAGGCGGAUGGGUACGUCGGUUGCUGAAAUCCCCCGGCUCAACCGGGGAACUGGCACCGAAACGCCCCGUCUCGAGGGACGUAGGGGGACCUGGAACUUCCGGUGGAGCGGUGAAAUGCGUUGAGAUCGGAAGGAACGCCCGUGGCGAAAGCGAGGUCCUGGACGUUUUCUGACGCUGAGACGCGAAAGCUAGGGGAGCGAACGGG
Molecule: ribosomal RNA, 254 nt
Filed under: uncultured bacterium
Lineage: Bacteria
Description: partial 16S ribosomal RNA
Rfam family: Bacterial small subunit ribosomal RNA
Source: RNAcentral